RNA transcript from Dermacentor silvarum, 2210 nucleotides. RefSeq lists it as uncharacterized. The transcript has 5 exons. NCBI's taxonomy places the organism in Eukaryota, Metazoa, Arthropoda, Arachnida, Ixodida, Ixodidae. The record is from RefSeq and is a predicted model, not a curated record.
CGCGGCACCAGGGGGCACCGUGCGCUGCGCCUCCGGUCUCGAAGGAUCUAACAAGCGGUUGAUGCAGCUGCGAAUGUGUAGUCAGUCGGCUUUUAUCGUUUUAUGUUGUGCAGAUUGUUAGUUCACCGUAAAUAUGUCUUGAUUUGUACUCAAGAGUGGAGCAAGGCCCCAAGGAACAGAGAUUGACGCAACGGGAGCGAAGAACAGAAGCGAUGGAUGGUUACGCUGGUUGACUCUCGGCAUGUUCAAAAUGGCGAAGUUCCGAAUUUGUCGCUGUGUGACGUGCGCGUGUGUGCUCGUGAUGUGCCGUCAUAGCGCGGGGAUAUUUGUGCUGAAUGUGUUUCACUUCGUCUACAAAACUCUGCACGCAAUGGCAUCGAAGAAGUCGUGUGUUCAGGUGCACGUAUGUGCAUGCUUGGAUACGGAAAGCCUGCCCUCAACGGUAGCGCUGAGCUCAGCCGUGUUGGCUCAGCGCUACCCCCUCAACGGAUGUUCAACAGUCUACGUGCUCGUAACUUGCUCACGAGACCUCCUUGCUGUUGCAACUCUGAGGACAAUUGCUUCAAAUGGGAAGGAACAACCAGCACUGCCAGCGCUAUUUGUACAUGAGGACACCUCCUUGCUGUUGCAACUCUGAGGACAAUUGCUUCAAAUGGGAAGGAACAACCAGCAGUGCCAGCGCUAUUUGUACAUGAGGACACCUCCUUGCUGUUGCAACUCUGAGGACAAUUGCUUCAAAUGGGAAGGAACAACCAGCAGUGCCAGCGCUAUUUGUACAUGAGGACGACGAGAGGGUUCCACUCACCCCCUGUGUGCUGUAUUCUGGCCACAACCUGGAACAGGCAGAGUUUCUCCACCUCUGUGUCGACAAGGAGCGGCUGUUCAUGGUCAAAAAUGCGGAGGAAGGGGUCAUCGCAAUCAUGAGUGCAUUUUUUGUAUUGAACAUAGUAUAUGGGCCUAAAUACUUCAACACCAGUGCAGUACUGGAACGAUUGUUUUUUGGUUUGAAUGUAAUAAUGCCAAGUGGUUGUUACAAAGUUUGUGAACAGAGUUGUGCAGGCAAUGCGACACCGAGGUUCAUGUACGUUACCAUACGAAUGCUAGCCUGACAAUUUUGUGCAAUAGCUUGAGCAAUAGUUUUAUGCAAUUUUUAAUGUAUCAUUUUCUUUCUUUUUGAUCACGAUAAUAGCAUGAUCCAGUAACUUCUUCCGCUGUUUGUGCCAACCACCUAUAGACUGCACCUUUUUUUGUUCUGAUGACUUGACAGACAAUGUAAUAGUGCCCAAGUGUAGGUCAGCAAAAAACAAACGUGGUGUACUGUAGUCUGCACGUACUUAUCGAAAACGUUGCUGGGUGUUGCUAUGUGCUGAAAAGAAGAUUACAAUACGUCUACUUCUAAUGAGGUCUGCCUUAACAUUAAUGUGUGUGAAACAAUUGUCAGCAGUUUUAUACAAAGAUUAUAGCUUGCUUGCUCUUCCUUAACAUAGUUUGUUUAUGAAACCUAUUUGCCAGCCAGGGAACAAUGUCCCAGCUUAUAAGUACUGCAUGAUACAACUGUUAACAUUUGUAUUCCCUUAUAGGGCACAUCAACACUGGCAGCCAGUGCUCAACUUUUCGUAACAUGCCGCUUGGUCAAUAUUUUAUAUUUUGCGCAUUUGUUGCAUUGUGUAACCUACCCAAUACAAGUGAAAGUUUUUGUGGUUUGACUGUCCUUUUAUGAACUAUGUUUUAUGUUUAUUAUGUAUAACUUAGCAGCUGAGGCCUGACAUACUAGUCAAAACGCAGCAGAGUAUCCAAUUUUUAUAAGGUUUUACAAGGUUUUUACAAGUUUUGGAUUGUAAAACAAUGUUACGUGGAACAAUUAUCAGGCUGCAGUACUGUUACAUUGUCAUGAAUACCGGCAGCCUUUGCUUAACCUUUAUGAAUCUGCUGGCAGGCUGUAGUAUCUUUAGCUCGUUUAUUUUUUGUACAUGUGUUGCCAAUGCCUCAUCCGAGUGAAAGCUAGUCGCUUAUAUACUACAUAUACUGGUGUUUCUACAAAGAAUUUACAUAAUAUUUAAAAAUAGCCGUUCUGAAGUACAAGGACGGCUCGUUAGAAGACAGCAAUGCUGUCAGUGGUGCCGACCAUGGUUGGAUGGGUGAUAUCUGGUAAUUAGUUGCUAAUUAACAAUCUAAUAUAUCUUACUUUUAGUUUCAGCAGACUCAUUGUA